GGCCCAGGAUAGUACCCCUAGUAGAUUGCUUGUUUUUUUUUCUUUUGUGCAUCAUCAUGGCAUCAUGCAUCAUAUCAUCCGCAUGAUUUUAUCAAAUAAAAACUAUUUUGAAAUAACAACUAUUUUAUCUUUCUCUCAUAUGGUUUUAUUAAACCCUCCCUUAUCUUUUCUUUUAAUAAAACCCCCUCUCUGGCCCAUCUAUCCCUCUCUCCCUGCAGGCCCAACUCCUCUCUCUUCAGGCCUACUCUUUCUUUAUGGGUUCCUCUCUUCCUCUCUCUGGCCCAACUCCCUUUCAACCCGGCUCAGCCCACCUUACCUGCUCCAUGAUGGGACAGGCUCCUCCGGUUGCUGUCCUUUUCUCCUUCACGCACAGAGCGUGCUAGCUUUUUCUCCACCAACACCGUGGUCCUCCUCCCCACCUCCACGCCAAGCGCAUGAGCGUCCCCUCUCUUCCUUAUCCUCUCUACAAGGCUGCAACCACCCAGUACCCCUCACACACGCCUCUCUUCCCUCUGCCUUUCUUCUUCCUCACGAAAGAAUAGAAGAAGGAGAAAACCCCAACGCUGGUGUCCCUGCAUCUCCGUCACGCCACCAUCUCCGGUGACCCCGCGCCGCGCCAACGCCACCAGGAGGAGCGCCAUAUCUUCCUCGCCCUCCUCACCAAGUGAAUCGUCCUGGGAGGCCCUGGAACGUCGUCACUUUCACCGAUUCCGUCUCCGGUUGCCGGCGUUCUUCUUCGAAUUCCGGCUGGUAUGGUCCUCCUCCGCCCGUGCUGUGCACGUCUUAGGCUUCCUGGUGAUGUACUCGUUCUCCCGGACCUCCCCUUCUUCUCCUACGCGCUUCCUUUUGGCUUACCGACGUUCGCCGUCCCUCACCUCCGCAGGUCCUCGCCGCCGGCAGUACUCCGGCAAGCUUCCGGCACCAACUCCACCAGAUCCUGGUCGCCCGCGUCAAGGCGCACCUCCGACACCAUCGCCCUCGCCUUGAUUCGGUCCAAAUCGACCUAUCCAUCUCCGACCUGAUCCUCUGCCAUUGAUGCUGUGGGCAAGCUCGUCCCCGCCUUCCGUCUAUUCUUCUUUGCGUGUACCACUCACUCGACAAGAACUGCAGCAUAGCCCAGUGGUGGGGCCCGUUUGUCAGCGACCAACAGAUCCACCUCAUCGCCCGACAUCCCAGUCAGCGCCUUGUCACCUCCCUGGCCCGCUCGUCAGUCCCUGUGGCUGGGUGCUGCUCGCAUUUGCUUCUUCUCGGAUAGGAUCGCGAAGUGGUGAUGUGAGAUACGAC
Molecule: long non-coding RNA, 1284 nt
Organism: Lolium rigidum
Lineage: Eukaryota; Viridiplantae; Streptophyta; Magnoliopsida; Poales; Poaceae
Exons: 3
Source: RefSeq, a predicted model, not a curated record